AUUUUUACCUCAUGGCGAAAAAAAAGUCUGUGAAGGAGGAGGACCUGCAACAAUUCAGGAAGCAGGCGGCCUGUGUCGGCUUCUCUGGAGACCCAGACUAUCACUACAACCCCAGUAAAGAAUUCUGUGCUGAAGGUGAAGGCAGACAGAUGAUGUUCUGACCAUAAAGCCCUCAGGUGUCAUCAGAAAGACAUCAUCCAACUGGAAAACCA
Thalassophryne amazonica is the source of this 212-nucleotide long non-coding RNA. RefSeq lists it as uncharacterized. The record is from RefSeq and is a predicted model, not a curated record. The transcript has 6 exons. Lineage: Eukaryota; Metazoa; Chordata; Actinopteri; Batrachoidiformes; Batrachoididae.